Molecule: ribosomal RNA, 335 nt
Filed under: uncultured bacterium
Lineage: Bacteria
Description: bacterial SSU rRNA
Rfam family: Bacterial small subunit ribosomal RNA
Source: RNAcentral
CGUGUAGGCGGAUGGGGACGUCGGUUGCUGAAAGCCCCCCGGCUCAACCGGGGAACGGGCACCGAAACGCCCCGUCUGGAGGGACGUAGGGGGACCUGGAACUUCCGGUGGAGCGGUGAAAUGCGUUGAGAUCGGAAGGAACGCCCGUGGCGAAAGCGAGGUCCUGGACGUUUUCUGACGCUGAGACGCGAAAGCUAGGGUAGCGAACGGGAUUAGAUACCCCGGUAGUCCUAGCUGUAAACGAUGGGCACUGGGUAGGGGGCUCGCCGAUGGGCUCUCUGCCGCAGGGAAACCGUGAAGUGCCCCCGCCUGGGGAGUAUGGUCGCAAGGCUGAA